RNAcentral lists this ribosomal RNA (500 nucleotides) under uncultured bacterium. RNAcentral describes it as "partial 16S ribosomal RNA". It matches the Rfam family "Bacterial small subunit ribosomal RNA", at positions 28 to 523 of the family's 1533-position model. The record is from RNAcentral.
GGUGAACGCUGGCGGCAUGCCUUACACAUGCAAGUCGAACGGCAGCACGGGAGCAAUCCUGGUGGCGAGUGGCGAACGGGUGAGUAAUGUAUCGGAACGUGCCCAGUCGUGGGGGAUAACGUAGCGAAAGCUACGCUAAUACCGCAUACGAUCUAUGGAUGAAAGCGGGGGAUCGCAAGACCUCGCGCGAUUGGAGCGGCCGAUAUCAGAUUAGGUAGUUGGUGGGGUAAAGGCCUACCAAGCCUGCGAUCUGUAGCUGGUCUGAGAGGACGACCAGCCACACUGGAACUGAGACACGGUCCAGACUCCUACGGGAGGCAGCAGUGGGGAAUUUUGGACAAUGGGCGCAAGCCUGAUCCAGCAAUGCCGCGUGCAGGAUGAAGGCCUUCGGGUUGUAAACUGCUUUUGUACGGAGCGAAAAGGCUCUCUCUAAUACAGGGGGCUCAUGACGGUACCGUAAGAAUAAGCACCGGCUAACUACGUGCCAGCCGCCGCCGUAA